UGACAUAAUUGGACAGAAAUGGAUUGUC
RNAcentral lists this non-coding RNA (28 nucleotides) under Mus musculus (house mouse). The record is from RNAcentral. Lineage: Eukaryota; Metazoa; Chordata; Mammalia; Rodentia; Muridae.